This 468-nucleotide ribosomal RNA is filed under the name uncultured bacterium. RNAcentral's name for it is "partial 16S ribosomal RNA". It matches the Rfam family "Bacterial small subunit ribosomal RNA", at positions 28 to 507 of the family's 1533-position model. The record is from RNAcentral.
GACGAACGCUGGCGGCGUGCUUAACACAUGCAAGUCGAACGGAAAGGCCCUGCUUUUGUGGGGUGCUCGAGUGGCGAACGGGUGAGUAACACGUGAGUAACCUGCCCUUGACUUUGGGAUAACUUCAGGAAACUGGGGCUAAUACCGGAUAGGAGCUCCUGCUGCAUGGUGGGGGUUGGAAAGUUUCGGCGGUUGGGGAUGGACUCGCGGCUUAUCAGCUUGUUGGUGGGGUAGUGGCUUACCAAGGCUUUGACGGGUAGCCGGCCUGGGAGGGUGACCGGCCACAUUGGGACUGAGGUACGGCCCAGACUGCAACGGGAGGCAGCGGUGGGAAACAUUGCGCAAUGGGCGGAAGCCUGAUACAGCAACGCCGCGUGCGGGAUGACGGCUUUCGGGUUGUAAACCGCUUUCGCCUGUGACGAAGCGUGAGUGACGGUAAUGAGUAAGGAAGCACCGGCUAACUACGUG